AGUCUGCUUUUAGUGCAGGUGGUCGUGUGCUGGACGAAAAGAGGACGAGGCUUACUCCUCAAAUAUGCGAGGCACUUAUGUGUUUGAAGGAUUGGGAAGAUGCUGAUUUUCGAACUCAAAGUUUUGUAGAUGAAGAUCUCUCAUAUUUUGAAGAUGACAGCACAAGUUCCCUUAAUGAAGUUUGUUGAGGAUUAUUCUGGUCAAAGCGUGACCAGCAUAGCGUCAAAACUUUGAGGGUUCAUCACUGUGUUAUCUGGGACUGCUAUAUUGCAUAGUACACGAGGGCCAGAUCCACCUUUAAUUACAGGAACGUGAGAUGACAAAUGCUGAUAUUUUACCCGGUGUCCUAGAUUAAUUUUAUUUUCCUUUUUGUGUAAUUUGGGAGGGUAGUGGUACUCUUUUUCCUUGACCGGAUUUUCCUCCUUUGGGGGUUUUUUAAGGCAAGGUUUUAACGAGGCCACAUUUUUGCCCUCCACCUUUUUCAUAUUGUUUGGAUGUUUGAUUAUUAAUGUUUUCAAAUAGUUCAUCAUUCCUUGCUUCUAGUUAUAUGUUUUAUGUUUAUAAUUUUAAUUAUCUAGUGGGAAAAAAAAAAUCAAGUAAAAAAAAUUCAAAUUAAAUGGGCUUGUUCUUGGGCCCGAGUAUGGCCCGAGCACGAGCACGGGCACGGCCCAAGCACGGCACGGCCCGUUUCAAUAUGGACUUGGGCUUUGGGCCGGGCUGGGAUAAAUUAUUUUACUAAAUGGGCCAGCACGGCACGGCCCGAUAGAUUAAAUGGGCCGGCACGGCACGGCACGAAUACAUUAAAGGCACGAAUUUAAAUGGGUUGGGCCGGCCCGGCACGGCCCGUUUGACACCUCUACUCCAACUCCACCUCUACCUCCACCUUUAAAAUAUGAACAUAAUCUUUUAAAAAAAUCUCUGCAAAAACAAA
Molecule: long non-coding RNA, 931 nt
Organism: Prunus persica (peach)
Lineage: Eukaryota; Viridiplantae; Streptophyta; Magnoliopsida; Rosales; Rosaceae
Exons: 3
Source: RefSeq, a predicted model, not a curated record